GCGGCCGCUCAGUUGGUAGAGCAUGGCGCUUGGAACGUCACGGUGGCGGCUUCAAUUCCUACGGGCGCC
Molecule: non-coding RNA, 69 nt
Organism: Dallia pectoralis (Alaska blackfish)
Lineage: Eukaryota; Metazoa; Chordata; Actinopteri; Esociformes; Umbridae
Source: the annotation of a GenBank genome assembly